Molecule: non-coding RNA, 96 nt
Organism: Mycena rebaudengoi
Lineage: Eukaryota; Fungi; Basidiomycota; Agaricomycetes; Agaricales; Mycenaceae
Source: the annotation of a GenBank genome assembly
AGCCCGGUGGCGGAUGGUCCGCGUCUGCUGAACUUGUCAAAGUCUUCAAGAUUCCAAGGUUUGCAGAAGACGCUCGUUCGACUCGAGCCUGGGCUA